UCCCUGAUGGUCCGGUGGUUAAGACUCUGUGCUUUCACUGCAGGGGGCACAGGUUUGAUCCCUGGUCAGGGAA
This 73-nucleotide transfer RNA is filed under the name Ovis aries (sheep). It matches the Rfam family "tRNA". Rfam says of the family: Transfer RNA (tRNA) molecules are approximately 80 nucleotides in length. Their secondary structure includes four short double-helical elements and three loops (D, anti-codon, and T loops). Further hydrogen bonds mediate the characteristic L-shaped molecular structure. tRNAs have two regions of fundamental functional importance: the anti-codon, which is responsible for specific mRNA codon recognition, and the 3' end, to which the tRNAs corresponding amino acid is attached (by aminoacyl-tRNA synthetases). tRNAs cope with the degeneracy of the genetic code in two manners: having more than one tRNA (with a specific anti-codon) for a particular amino acid; and 'wobble' base-pairing, i.e. permitting non-standard base-pairing at the 3rd anti-codon position. Lineage: Eukaryota; Metazoa; Chordata; Mammalia; Artiodactyla; Bovidae. The record is from Rfam by way of RNAcentral.